CGGGUGAGUAACGCGUAAUCAACCUGCCCUUCAGAGGGGGACAACAGUUGGAAACGACUGCUAAUACCGCAUAAGCCCACGGCUCGGCAUCGAGCAGAGGGAAAAGGAGUGAUCCGCUUUGAGAUGGCCUCGCGUCCGAUUAGCUAGUUGGUGAGGUAACGGCCCACCAAGGCAACGAUCGGUAGCCGGACUGAGAGGUUGAACGGCCACAUUGGGACUGAGACACGGCCCAG
RNAcentral lists this ribosomal RNA (233 nucleotides) under uncultured bacterium. Its description in RNAcentral is "partial 16S ribosomal RNA". It matches the Rfam family "Bacterial small subunit ribosomal RNA", at positions 103 to 334 of the family's 1533-position model. The record is from RNAcentral.